Molecule: ribosomal RNA, 310 nt
Filed under: uncultured bacterium
Lineage: Bacteria
Description: bacterial SSU rRNA
Rfam family: Bacterial small subunit ribosomal RNA
Source: RNAcentral
UCAGGCCUAACACAUGCAAGUCGAGCGGGGUUUUCGAACAAAACGGCGGACGGGUGAGUAAUGCGUAGGAAGCUGCCCGAUAGAGGGGGAUACCAGUUGGAAACGACUGUUAAUACCGCAUAAUGUCUACGGACCAAAGUGUGGGACGUUCGGGCCACAUGCUAUCGGAUGCGCCUACGUGGGAUUAGCUAGUUGGUGGGGUAAUGGCUCACCAAGGCGACGAUCUCUAGCUGGUUUGAGAGGAUGAUCAGCCGCACUGGAAGGGGGACACGGUCCAGACUCCUACGGGAGGCAGCAGUGGGGAAUAUUG